This 975-nucleotide long non-coding RNA is filed under the name Macaca mulatta (Rhesus monkey). RNAcentral describes it as "lncRNA (ENSMMUG00000052245.1)". The record is from RNAcentral. Lineage: Eukaryota; Metazoa; Chordata; Mammalia; Primates; Cercopithecidae.
CUAUAACAAACCUGUACACUAAUCUCCAGAAAGAGGCCUAGCGACCUGAACCUAAAAUAAAAGUAAAAAAAAACAAGAUGGAGUGAGAUCCACCUGCACCACCAAGAAACGAUCCAUAGAACAAAUCGUUGCCUGAGAAAAUAAAAAUCACAGAUGAUCGCUCUCUAUGGAUGCAUGCACACAAAUCCAGGUCUGCACGCCAGCCACUUUGAUAGGAUCAACUGCAGAGAUGUGCCCAGCUUUGCUCAAAUUGGCCUUCAUCCGGUUCCAGCUUUCAAAACAGGAACAGUGGGAAAUGAGAGGGAGAUGUCCUGUGCCCAUGCAGGCUGCCCUUCACUACACCCACAGCCAGCCAGGCAUUCAGGUGUUUCUUUCUGCAAUUCUCUCUUAAGAGAAGCACUUCAGGGGCACAGGAAAUUCCCACAUCAAAGGGUAAAUGAGUAAAUAAAUAGAGUCAUGUUCUGCCAUUGUCUGUACUCUGAAGAGUUUCUCACAAUCUGGCAUUAAGACUCUACAAAUCAUCUACCUUCUACACAACUUCUGAAGCUGUUCAACAUUGCCUUAAAAUUUUUCAAAAGGUCAUAGAGACUGAUAAUGCCAUAAAGUUUCGUUUUCUUUCUUUAGCCCCCAUCUGGGAUUUUCCUUCUUUUUCCCACCUGGAAUAGAUGGAAGUCUGGAGGUGUGGCAGCCUUCUUGCAGCCAUGAGGUCACCAUGGAUAUGAAAAUCAUGCAUAAGGAGGGUGGGGCGGGAAGAUAAUGGACUUGCUGCAUUGUCUGGGCUUUUCUAUCUCGUGUGUUAUGUGAGCAAAACAAACCCCUACUUGGUAAAGCCACUAGAGUCAAGUUUUUGUUUUGUGGAGACAAGCGUAAUUCCUAACGGAUACUUGCAAUGUCUAUUGGUAGGACUCAGUUCUGGAGAUUCGUCUGUUUUCCCAGUACCAUAGAAAAAUCUUUUUAUUUAGAAAAACAUUAAAA